RNAcentral lists this small RNA (547 nucleotides) under Pan troglodytes (chimpanzee). RNAcentral describes it as "processed transcript". The record is from RNAcentral. Lineage: Eukaryota; Metazoa; Chordata; Mammalia; Primates; Hominidae.
CAGCUUGCUCGCAUACAGACGGACAGUGUGGUGACAACAUUGAAAGCCUCAUACCCUGGCCUGCAGUUUGAAAUCAUUGCUAUGUCCACCACAGGGGACAAGAUUCUUGAUACUGCACUCUCUAAGAUUGGAGAGAAAAGCCUGUUUACCAAGGAGCUUGAACAUGCCCUGGAGAAGAAUGAAGUGGACCUGGUUGUUCACUCCUUGAAGGACCUGCCCACUGUGCUUCCUCCUGGCUUCACCAUCGGAGCCAUCUGCAAGCGGGAAAACCCUCAUGAUGCUGUUGUCUUUCACCCAAAAUUUGUUGGGAAGACCCUAGAAACCCUGCCAGAGAAGAGUGUGGUGGGAACCAGCUCCCUGCGAAGAGCAGCCCAGCUGCAGAGAAAGUUCCCGCAUCUGGAGUUCAGGAGUAUUGAUGUAACCCUAUUGUAAGUCAAGGACCUUCUGUCUUCACUUCUUGACCACCCCACCUCUAUCACCAUAGGCUGGGAAGAUUGUGAAUCAGAGGCCAGACUCUAGGCUUUCAUGGAGAAAAUUUACAAAAAAA